RNAcentral lists this ribosomal RNA (287 nucleotides) under Pseudomonas sp. ATCC 13867. RNAcentral's name for it is "partial 16S ribosomal RNA". It matches the Rfam family "Bacterial small subunit ribosomal RNA", at positions 767 to 1051 of the family's 1533-position model. The record is from RNAcentral. Lineage: Bacteria; Pseudomonadati; Pseudomonadota; Gammaproteobacteria; Pseudomonadales; Pseudomonadaceae.
AGCAAACAGGAUUAGAUACCCUGGUAGUCCACGCCGUAAACGAUGUCGACUAGCCGUUGGGAUCCUUGAGAUCUUAGUGGCGCAGCUAACGCGAUAAGUCGACGCCUGGGGGAGUACGGCCGCAAGGGUUAAAACUCAAAUGAAUUGACGGGGGCCCGCGACAAGCGGUGGAGCAUGUGGUUUAAUUCGAAGCAACGCGAAGAACCUUACCUGGCCUUGACAUGUCCGGAAUCCUGCAGAGAUGUGGGAGUGCCUUCGGGAAUCGGAACACAGGUGCUGCAUGGCUG